GUCAGGAUGGCCGAGCGGUCCACGGCGCUGCGUUCAGGUCGCAGUCCGGUCUUCCGGGCGUGGGUUCGAAUCCCACUUCUGACA
Molecule: transfer RNA, 84 nt
Filed under: Rhipicephalus microplus (southern cattle tick)
Lineage: Eukaryota; Metazoa; Arthropoda; Arachnida; Ixodida; Ixodidae
Description: tRNA-Leu
Rfam family: tRNA
About the family: Transfer RNA (tRNA) molecules are approximately 80 nucleotides in length. Their secondary structure includes four short double-helical elements and three loops (D, anti-codon, and T loops). Further hydrogen bonds mediate the characteristic L-shaped molecular structure. tRNAs have two regions of fundamental functional importance: the anti-codon, which is responsible for specific mRNA codon recognition, and the 3' end, to which the tRNAs corresponding amino acid is attached (by aminoacyl-tRNA synthetases). tRNAs cope with the degeneracy of the genetic code in two manners: having more than one tRNA (with a specific anti-codon) for a particular amino acid; and 'wobble' base-pairing, i.e. permitting non-standard base-pairing at the 3rd anti-codon position.
Source: Rfam by way of RNAcentral